AUUCACACUGGCGCGCAUGGUUUCCGCAAACACAAACAACCCUGUUCGGAACAACAAAGCCAAGGCAGGUUCUCACCCGUUAGCAAGCCGCUCCAAUGGCAACCCCCCGUGACAAUUUGAUGAGGGAAAAGAUGCCGAUGGAAACAUGCCUAUAAUUAAUAGCUAAUUGGUUCCGUCCUUUUCGACCUUGUUGCCAGAACGAGCUCAAGUCGUGUGUACAGGUGCCAUUUGUUUCCUCAAUUUGAUGCCCUGGACAAUGCCACAAGAUUUUCUUCAGUGUAAAACGGGAAAGGAAAUGUCAUCUCAUACCUCUUUCUUUGGCUUGAUCUCAAGUUGACCCACACAAACUGCCAUCAGGGAUUCAUCAAAAAUAGCCCUCCCUCCCCGGACCAAUCACGCUCCAAGCUGAACCAGGAUCAGCCUCGAGCUUUAGUGAGGUGUCCAUUAAAGACAGAAGCGUCGCUCCUUCAACAGCAUCGGGACCUGGGGCUAUAUCGCCCGGAUGCCCGGGGUCAGACACCCCAGCUCCUAGUCUAC
Molecule: long non-coding RNA, 537 nt
Organism: Anguilla anguilla (European eel)
Lineage: Eukaryota; Metazoa; Chordata; Actinopteri; Anguilliformes; Anguillidae
Exons: 3
Source: RefSeq, a predicted model, not a curated record